GCUGUCGUCAGCUCGUGUUGUGAAAUGUUGGGUUAAGUCCCGCAACGAGCGCAACCCUUAUCCUUUGUUGCCAGCGAUUCGGUCGGGAACUCAAAGGAGACUGCCGGUGAUAAACCGGAGGAAGGUGGGGAUGACGUCAAGUCAUCAUGGCCCUUACGAGUAGGGCUACACACGUGCUACAAUGGCGUAUACAAAGAGAAGCGACCUCGCGAGAGCAAGCGGAACUCAUAAAGUACGUCGUAGUCCGGAUUGGAGUCUGCAACUCGACUCCAUGAAGUCGGAAUCGCUAGUAAUCGUAGAUCAGAAUGCUACGGUGAAUACGUUCCCGGGCCUUGUACACACCGCCCGUCACACCAUGGGAGUGGGUUGCAAAAGAAGUAGGUAGCUUAACCUUCGGGAGGGCGCUUACCACUUUGUGAUUCAUGACUGGGGUGAAGUCGUAACAAGGUAACCGUAGGGGAACCUGCGGUUGGAUCACCUCCUUA
This 485-nucleotide ribosomal RNA is filed under the name Providencia rettgeri. RNAcentral's name for it is "bacterial SSU rRNA". It matches the Rfam family "Bacterial small subunit ribosomal RNA", at positions 1048 to 1533 of the family's 1533-position model. The record is from RNAcentral. Lineage: Bacteria; Pseudomonadati; Pseudomonadota; Gammaproteobacteria; Enterobacterales; Morganellaceae.